UGCUAUUGGCAUUGUGCUUAUUCACCAUCGAGCUAGAGCAAACUCUUGUCACUUCCUUUCUGCUGCCAAUACCUUCCUCGUCCAUCACCUAGUUCUCAUCGAACAACCACUAGGGACCUAAGGUUGGGGUACCAGGGUUGAGGAGAACGGGACCCGUUAGGCCACCACUUGGUUAAGUUUUGGCCCUUAGGUGUCGGGGCGAGAGGGAGUGGGGAUAUAUUGGGCCCCACUCAGCUAGAAUUUGACCCUUG
This 251-nucleotide long non-coding RNA is filed under the name Elaeis guineensis (African oil palm). RNAcentral describes it as "long non-coding RNA (EGUI_LNC030492)". Lineage: Eukaryota; Viridiplantae; Streptophyta; Magnoliopsida; Arecales; Arecaceae. The record is from RNAcentral.